Molecule: ribosomal RNA, 267 nt
Filed under: uncultured bacterium
Lineage: Bacteria
Description: partial 16S ribosomal RNA
Rfam family: Bacterial small subunit ribosomal RNA
Source: RNAcentral
UGCUCCCUACGGGACGCAGCAGUGGGGAAUAUUGCACAAUGGGGGAAACCCUGAUGCAGCGACGCCGCGUGAGUGAAGAAGUAUCUCGGUACGUAAAGCUCUAUCAGCAGGGAAGAAAAAAAGUCUUUGGCUUUGGACGGUACCUGACUAAGAAGCCCCGGCUAACUACGUGCCAGCAGCCGCGGUAAUACGUAGGGGGCAAGCGUUAUCCGGAUUUACUGGGUGUAAAGGGAGCGUAGACGGAAUUGCAAGUCUGAUGUGAAAAUC